Long non-coding RNA from Ornithodoros turicata, 819 nucleotides. RefSeq lists it as uncharacterized. Lineage: Eukaryota; Metazoa; Arthropoda; Arachnida; Ixodida; Argasidae. The record is from RefSeq and is a predicted model, not a curated record. The transcript is spliced from 2 exons.
UCCAAAAAGUCUGCCAAAAAAACGGAGACAGCACAGGUGGUGUCAGGUUUCUGAAGCCACAACCUUCCAUUCUUUCGCGUGACCUGAAGCGUGCCAGUAGAGGAUAAUCGGGCCACAAGGAAAUCGCCAGGCCACACCUGUACACCGAUUGCACUGUUGCUUCAGCACAUCUACAUCAACGAGUAUGCGUCACAUCCGAGCCGAUGAAGUCCUCCUAUGACGUCACGUUUCCGGUAUGCAGCGUGCGUGCACUUCUCAGGAUCGCGCCUUCAAAGGCCGUGAUUCAAUAGCAGACGAUAAACAGAUUUUAGUACGUGCAGCUAGCGACAGAUGGCGCAACGUUUAAGUGGCAUUUCAGUCGCGAACCUUUCGCAACAAACAAGGGAGGUCAGCUUUUUCUCUCGUGCUCUUUUUUUUUUUAACCCUAAUUCUUUCAUGGCGGGAAGUUCAAUUUGCGGUUGAUGGUUUAUAGUUUAGGAAGAGCAACCGUGCUCAUUUGUGCUAAACGAGGCAAACGCUGGCACGGUUUCCUGUGAAGUCUGCCUAGGACGCGCGAUUUCCCCGAGCAACAGCUGCUGACAUAUCGCUCGGUAAUGACGCGCCAUCAACAACUUACCGUGCAUUAAUUCCACCUGAUGUAAUUGAUAAUUUAUGCGGAGUGGUUUAUGCCUUCGCGACGUUGUUGAUAUCCGCUGACCUGUUGACUUUACUUUGUGUGUCAAUUGUGGACCCCGAAAAUAAUUGUGAUAUUUUGCAGGCGUAUAGCGAUACUUUGAGCUCAACUCUGUUCAAAUAAACAAACGACAUAAUUUAGUCGGA